CAGUCCUUCAUCAGGAUGAAGACUCUGCUGGUCCUCUCCGUUCUACUGUGUGCUGCAUUAGCAGCUCCAGCUGGAGACGAGCAGAAACCUUUAGAAACAGUAGUGGAGCUCCCUCAGGAAGACGCUGCUCUUGAAGCUG
Melanotaenia boesemani (Boeseman's rainbowfish) is the source of this 139-nucleotide long non-coding RNA. RefSeq lists it as uncharacterized. Lineage: Eukaryota; Metazoa; Chordata; Actinopteri; Atheriniformes; Melanotaeniidae. The record is from RefSeq and is a predicted model, not a curated record. The transcript is spliced from 3 exons.